RNAcentral lists this long non-coding RNA (2283 nucleotides) under Homo sapiens (human). RNAcentral describes it as "HSALNT0336775". Lineage: Eukaryota; Metazoa; Chordata; Mammalia; Primates; Hominidae. The record is from RNAcentral.
ACAAAAUAGAAGUUCCUAUAAUAACUCCCUCAGCUGCCCACCACCAAAUGUCUAGGCUUCCUAUGUCUGUACUGUCUUCACCCUCCUUCUUCCUGUCAACUUGGAGGAGGUGUCUCUCCUUCCAUCAAAGGUCAAUGCCUCCACUUUUGCCUUAUAUAGAAAAUUAUCUCUACUAUUGCUUUUUUCUUCUACUUAAUUAAUCUCUCUGUCUGUGCUGGAACAUUCCUAUCAGCUUAAACAUCUGAUAUAUCCCAUGCUGAAAAAAACAAAAGACGGAGGAGGAAGAGGAGGAGGAGGAGAAAGGAAAGGAAACCUGUCCUUUAAGUGCUCCUUCUAACUACCAAACCAUUUCUCUGCCCUGUGUCAUAUCCAUUUUUAUUGAAAGAGAUGUAUACACUCCACCUCUACUUCCUCACCUCUUCUUCAUUCUUCAAUAUCCUCCAAUCUCUCUCCAUUUUCAUAUCUUCAUUGGUGUGAAUUAUUAUGUCAUUAAAGUUAAUAAACUAUUUUUCUGUCUUCAUCUUAUUAGACCUCUUAGCAAUAUGCAAUGUGACAUCUAGGUUCUUCUCAAAACCCUCUUUACCUUGGCUUCUGUACCUGUUCUAUCUUCUACCACACUGGCCUACCACAAUAAUUUCAUUCUUCUUUGAUGGUCUCUUUAACUAUUGUUAUUUUUCAGAAUUUGGCUCUUCUUACGUGUUCUCAUCCAUUUCUAUGGCUUUACAUUUUUCUUUUGUGUCAGGACCCCCUUAAGCAUCAGAUUCAUGUCCACUCACCUACUUAAAUAUAUUAUAUUACCAUCUCAGUUUAGAAAGCAUCACAAGGCGACCUCAUUUGGCAUUUCAUUGCACUCAUUACAUGUGUGGAAACAUCCCUUCCAGACCAUCAUCUUCUGCUAAGUGUCCAGGGCUUGCUUAAGGCUUAUGAGUUCCUGGGAUAUUGCAAAAUGAUUUGUCUAUAUGUUCAUAUGGGGUAAGUCAGAGAAGGGUCAAACAAAAUUGAAGGACCAACAGGUGUCACUCCUGCAGAUCAGUGGCUUGGAGAAGUGCCAGAUACUACUGAAGAGAUGCUUUUAUUAGUCAUUGAUGAAAAGGACAGCUUGCAUAAUAUCAGGGCACAAGGGAUGGACAGUGAUUGCAUAAAGGUAGACCAGUGCACUUUUCAGAUGAUGACUUCUACAUGGCUUUUAGGUACCUGAGCAAUGCUCCUCACUGUGGUUCUUUGCUGAACUAGUCCCCAUUCCUGUCCAUGUGGCCCAUUCAGAUUUAGCCCUCUGACCUACACCACCAACCCUCUUCACUUCUUUGUUCCAUUUUAUCCCAGGGUAUCUCUUCUUUUCUGGCCACAGAAUGGCAUGACUGUUUGAAUACAGGGUAUGAAGAGGAGAAAAGUAAAAACCAGAUAAUAUGUCAAAUUAUUAUUCUAGCAAGAUAUCUGCAUUAGACAGCUCAUGCUGCCAUGAUGAAAUACCAUAGAUUGGGUGGUUUAAAAAACAGAAAUUUAUGUUCUCGUAGUUGUAGAGGCUAGAAAGUUCAGCAUUAAGGUCCAGGAGGGUUCAGUCUCUGAUAGUUGCCUUUUCCCUUUGCCCUCACAUGGUGGAGAAAGAGAAAUCUCUGCUUUCUCUUCCUUUUUUAUAAGGAAUCAGUUAUAUAGGAUCAAGGCUCCACUUUUACAACCUCAUUUAACCUGAAUCACCCCUUACAGCCUUAUCUCCAAUAUUGUCAUGUGGAGGCUUGGGGUUUUAACAUGUAAAUUUGGAGGGAGGAUACAAUUCAGUCCAUAGCAAUAUCUAAUAGGAAUCUCAAGCUAUAACGUGUCUAAAACAGACUACCUGAUUCUCCCGGGUUCCCACAUCCUCAUCCACAAAAUCUCCCUUUCAUAGCCUUUUUAUCAAAUUGAGUAAUCAGCACAAUUAUCUAGCCACUUGCUUAAGCAUAAAACAUGGAUUGAUUUGUCCAUGAGUCUUUUUAUUUUCUUAUUGUGCAUUAUCAAAGCGAAGAGCAAGACCUGUUGCCUCGAUCGUCAUAGAAUUUCUUGAAUUUGGUCACUUAUCCAUCUCUACACUCAAUACCUUAGUGUAUGCCACCAUCAUCUGGAAUGCUAACCUCUAUAAUGGUGUCCCUGCUACCAAUCUUGUUAUGUCAUAAUCCAUUCCUCACAGCCAGAGUGAUUUUAUCAAAAUGUUCAUCAGAUUAAUACAUGCAUAUGAACAAAAUGCACUUAAAAUACAAUCCUAUUGCCUUACCUUGGCCUACAAGACCCUGUCAACAUAGUAAAAUGGAG